This 227-nucleotide ribosomal RNA is filed under the name uncultured bacterium. RNAcentral's name for it is "partial 16S ribosomal RNA". It matches the Rfam family "Bacterial small subunit ribosomal RNA", at positions 524 to 749 of the family's 1533-position model. The record is from RNAcentral.
UACGGAGGGGGCAAGCGUUGUUCGGAAUUACUGGGCGUAAAGGGCGCGCAGGCGGCUGCUCAAGUCAGGCGUGAAAGGCCUGGGCUCAACCCGGGAAUUGCGCUUGAGACUGGGCUGGCUUGAGUGCGGGAGAGGAUGGUGGAAUUCCCAGUGUAGAGGUGAAAUUCGUAGAUAUUGGGAAGAACACCGGUGGCGAAGGCGGCCAUCUGGACCGCAACUGACGCUGA